CUUUUCUACUAAUAAAGAACUUUCAAUGGGGAAUGAUCCUGAAAAGAUUAGCAUGGCCCCUGCGCAAAGAUGACAUGCAAAUAUAUGAAGUGUUUCAUAUUUCU
Dipodomys ordii (Ord's kangaroo rat) is the source of this 104-nucleotide small nuclear RNA. The record is from Ensembl. NCBI's taxonomy places the organism in Eukaryota, Metazoa, Chordata, Mammalia, Rodentia, Heteromyidae.